GUGCUUGCUGCGGCAGCACAUAUACUAAAACUGGAACAAUACAGAGAUUAGCAUGGCCCAAAUGCAAGGAUGUCAUGCAAAUUCAUGAAGUGUUCCAUAUUUUU
RNAcentral lists this small nuclear RNA (104 nucleotides) under Dasypus novemcinctus (nine-banded armadillo). The record is from RNAcentral. Lineage: Eukaryota; Metazoa; Chordata; Mammalia; Cingulata; Dasypodidae.